Molecule: long non-coding RNA, 1370 nt
Filed under: Strigops habroptila (Kakapo)
Lineage: Eukaryota; Metazoa; Chordata; Aves; Psittaciformes; Psittacidae
Description: lncRNA (ENSSHBG00005009129.1)
Source: RNAcentral
UUUUUUUUUUUUUGCUGUUCUCCAAUCAUCAUUUCUUAUUGCUGGCCACAUUUUUUAGAUUGUGUUCAUCUUUUCCUGUUCCCAAGUGCUCAACACCAUAGUUUUUUUCCUUCCUUGUAUGUAUUCUUUUUACCACACACUUUGUGAUAGUUUCUUUUCUUUUGCUUCAGCAAAGCCUGAUUGAUUGCAGCUUCUAUAGGCCAUACAACCACUUACAGCUUCUGGCACAUUUUAUUUUUCUCAAAGGACAUGCAUUUCAAAAUCUUGACUAUUGUGCUUUAAAACCUGGAUUCCUAUUUCUUUUUAUAUGUAAUAAAGGUAUAGUCUACUUUGAUCUUAAUUAUUUGUGUCUCACUAAGCAGAAACAGAAAAAUUACUCCUUUAAGCUAUGCAACCCCUCUACAAAACAAAAAAUCUUUUUGGCACACCUCAACUUCUCAUUUACAUUAAGCAGGUAAACUGCAAAAGAGAUGUUAGUUGUACUCUCUAUUCAGAGUUAACAAUAAGAAUAGAAGCAGCACAUUGUAAUUUUAUAUUCACUUCUGCAAUGUAGGCCUUUAGGCAUGCACAGAAGUUCAGGUUUUGUACAGGAGUCAGUCAAUCGUUCUACUGCACCAAGCCAAAACGCCUUAAGAACAUAUGAACAUAAACUGAAAUACUUUUCUUUCAAAUGUUAAACAAUAUGCUUCUGUGGAUUCUUUUGUAGGAAACACAUCUACAUCAACUUUAGAAAAAGGAUUACUUAAUUAAGAAUUUUCAAAAAUAGCCAUGCUUUAAAUACACAAAAGCCUAAAAACUCUUUGCAGGAAGCCUGUAUUUGAUGCACUCAUUAGCAGACGUACUUCCAUAAUGCAUAAUUUUUUCUUUGUUACAGAAAAAAAUAAAUCAGCUGAAAUGAUAAUAAGAACACAGAAUUUCAGUGUAUUACCUAGACAAAACAUACCUAAAACUCUUCUCCAUACUCCCUCCUAUCAGAGGGGCCAGUAAAAAUCUCUCAAUAAAAACUGAGUCUCCAGAUACAGCUGAAAAAACCGCACCUGCCAGAAUCAGAAAACUUAGGUAGUUUUGGCUUACGUAGUUUGUAGCUUUCAAAACAGAUCAGCUAUCAUUAUUGUCAACUGUACUGUACUUCUUGUUCAUUGAUAAAGUACAGAGACCAAAGUAGCAUCUAGCCUUGCUAUUAAACACGUAAGAUGCUCAUAAUGGCUUCCACCCCAAAAAUUGGUAAAAAAAAAAAAAAAAAAAAGGAAUAAAACCUGUGAGGGAAUUCAAUGGAGAAAAGCAAAGGCUAUAAACUCUUCAGCUUGAGUAUGAGUCACAGAGGAUAAAGAAUGCAACUUGUCCUUAAAAGAUAUGUUCUCCUGUUCCCC